This 253-nucleotide ribosomal RNA is filed under the name uncultured bacterium. RNAcentral's name for it is "partial 16S ribosomal RNA". It matches the Rfam family "Bacterial small subunit ribosomal RNA", at positions 524 to 776 of the family's 1533-position model. The record is from RNAcentral.
GACAGAGGGGGCAAGCGUUGCUCGGAAUCACUGGGCGUAAAGCGCGUGUAGGCGGCUCGUUAAGUCUGUCGUGAAAUCUCCCGGCUCAACCGGGAUAGGUCGACGGAUACUGGCGGGCUUGAGGGGAGCAGAGGAAGGUGGAAUUCCCGGUGUAGGGGUGAAAUGCGUAGAUAUCGGGAGGAACACCAGUGGCGAAGGCGGCCUUAUGGGCUCUACCUGACGCUGAGACGCGAAAGCGUGGGGAGCGAACCGG